Molecule: ribosomal RNA, 497 nt
Filed under: uncultured bacterium
Lineage: Bacteria
Description: partial 16S ribosomal RNA
Rfam family: Bacterial small subunit ribosomal RNA
Source: RNAcentral
GAUGAACGCUGGCGGCGUGCCUAAUACAUGCAAGUCGAGCGAACGGACGAGAAGCUUGCUUCUCUGAUGUUAGCGGCGGACGUGUUAGUAACACGUGGAUAACCUACCUAUAAGACUGGGAUAACUUCGGUAAACCGGAGCUCAUACCGGAUAAUAUUUUGAACCGCAUGGUUCAAAAGUGAAAGACGGUCUUGCUGUCACUUAUAGAUGAAUCCGCGCUGCAUUAGCUAGUUGGUAAGGUAACGGCUUACCAAGGCAACGAUGCAUAGCCGACCUGAGAGGGCGAUCGGCCACACUGGAACUGAGACACGGUCCAGACUCCUACGGGAGGCAGCAGUAGGGAAUCUUCCGCAAUGGGCGAAAGCCUGACGGAGCAACGCCGCGUGAGUGAUGAAGGUCUUCGGAUCGUAAAACUCUGUUAUUAGGGAAGAACAUAUGUGUAAGUAAAUAUGCACAUCUUGACGGUACCUAAUCAGAAAGCCACGGCUAACUACGUG